This 497-nucleotide ribosomal RNA is filed under the name uncultured bacterium. RNAcentral describes it as "partial 16S ribosomal RNA". It matches the Rfam family "Bacterial small subunit ribosomal RNA", at positions 28 to 507 of the family's 1533-position model. The record is from RNAcentral.
GAUGAACGCUGGCGGCGUGCCUAAUACAUGCAAGUCGAGCGAACGGACGAGAAGCUUGCUUCUCUGAUGUUAGCGGCGGACGGGUGAGUAACACGUGGAUAACCUACCUAUAAGACUGGGAUAACUUCGGGAAACCGUAGCUAAUACCGGAUAAUAUUUUGAACCGCAUGGUUAAAAAGUGAAAGACGGUCUUGCUGUCACUUAUAGAUGGAUCCGCGCUGCAUUAGCUAGUUGGUAAGGUAACGGCUUACCAAGGCACCGAUGCAUAGCCGACCUGAGAGGGUGAUCGGCCACACUGGAACUGAGACACGGUCCAGACUCCUACGGGAGGCAGCAGUAGGGAAUCUUCCGCAAUGGGCGAAAGCCUGACGGAGCAACGCCGCGUGAGUGAUGAAGGUCUUCGGAUCGUAAAACUCUGUUAUUAGGGAAGAACAUAUGUGUAAGUAACUGUGCACAUCUUGACGGUACCUAAUCAGAAAGCCACGGCUAACUACGUG